UCACUCCACCCUAGUCAAUCCAUGGGCAGAUGUGGUUGCUACUACGGAACAUGAGGAAGGGAUUGUAUAUGCUGAUUUGGACUUGGAUUACGUGCAGAAAGUCCGCCAGAUGGUUCCCCUGGGUUCCCAAAGGAGGGGCGAUAUGUACGAAGUUGUAACCAAGAAGUAACUGCUCUUCAAUUUAAAAGGAAUGAAUGCUAUAUAAUGUCUUUUACUAAUCCAGUGCUCAAUGCAAUGAUUAUUUUUUCAUUUUGACAUUUAUAUAGAGAUACAAUGCUGAAUAACUGCUUUGUAUAUACAUGCUAUAAAAGAUAUAUUUUUUGACAGUUAUUUAGAUAUCAAUGCAAUAAAAUUAUAUAAUAAAAGGAAGUUAGCAUUGAAAAUAGCUGAUUUAAAACUCCAGUAGCAUUUCAGACAACAAAGCUUCACUAAUAAUAUAUUCCAAGAUAUUUUUUGUUUAAUUUACCAACCAGAUAAGUGCAAAAUAAAAAGGAUAUAUGGUGCUAUGUUCAAGUUCAGAUAUGAGUUACAGGUUUAACAGUUUCAUGAUAACAUCCAAAAAGAAAUAAAAACAUAAUAUCCUUCAA
Penaeus vannamei (Pacific white shrimp) is the source of this 587-nucleotide non-coding RNA. Lineage: Eukaryota; Metazoa; Arthropoda; Malacostraca; Decapoda; Penaeidae. The record is from RefSeq and is a predicted model, not a curated record.